This 253-nucleotide ribosomal RNA is filed under the name uncultured bacterium. RNAcentral's name for it is "partial 16S ribosomal RNA". It matches the Rfam family "Bacterial small subunit ribosomal RNA", at positions 524 to 776 of the family's 1533-position model. The record is from RNAcentral.
UACGUAGGGUGCGAGCGUUGCCCGGAUUUAUUGGGCGUAAAGGGCGCGUAGGCGGCCACGCACGUCCGUUGUGAAAUCGCCCGGCUCAACUGGGCGGGGUCAGCGGAUACGGUGUAGCUAGAGCAAGCUAGGGGGCAAUGGAAUUCCCGGUGUAGUGGUGGAAUGCGUAGAUAUCGGGAGGAACACCAGUGGCGAAGGCGGUUGCCUGGAGCUUUGCUGACGCUGAUGCGCGAAAGCGUGGGGAGCGAUCCGG